GCCGACAGCUAGCUCUCUGCAACUCUCACAUGGUCACCCACUGAAGCUAAGCAGGGCUGAGCCUGGUCAGUACCUGGAUGGGAGACCACAUGGGAAAGCUAGGUUGCUGCCGGAA
Molecule: ribosomal RNA, 115 nt
Filed under: Danio rerio (zebrafish)
Lineage: Eukaryota; Metazoa; Chordata; Actinopteri; Cypriniformes; Danionidae
Source: RNAcentral